AGAGGGAAAAUGCUCUGUUUUACGCUUUUAUCUAUGUCUGUGUCUGUCUCUCACAUUUGGUUUGGAUAUUUCCAGGUUAAUGAAAUUGCCUAAUCGAUGAUCUCCACUCAAUUCCCAAGAAUCCCAUAAACGCGACCUCCUAAAUCCAAAAUCUCUCGUGCUUUCCUGCCGAUUCUAGGGUUUCUUACUUUGGCCAUCUUUGCCUGUACUGUGAUCUCCUAGGGUUCUUAAACCAACCAAACAAAGAAACAGAACAGAAAAAGAACAAAUAAAAAAAA
RNAcentral lists this unclassified non-coding RNA (278 nucleotides) under Hevea brasiliensis (rubber tree). The record is from RNAcentral. Lineage: Eukaryota; Viridiplantae; Streptophyta; Magnoliopsida; Malpighiales; Euphorbiaceae.